Molecule: long non-coding RNA, 349 nt
Organism: Lepus europaeus (European hare)
Lineage: Eukaryota; Metazoa; Chordata; Mammalia; Lagomorpha; Leporidae
Exons: 5
Source: RefSeq, a predicted model, not a curated record
CUCAGCUCGGGAGUUCCCCGGGCGCCCGAGCCGGGGAAGGCGUCGCACCUGGAUGUAGUUGUUCUCGCAGUAGUCGGCCACCCGCUCCAGACUCAACUUCAAUGGAUAAAAACCUCAAGUUUAAGAAGCCCACCAGGUGUUACUGGAGAAAAGGGUGCCUUCAUCAGAUUCACUUGGAAUAUUCAGCUUAACCAUGCAUCACUGUAGAGAACUGCACAUCACUUUAUACUCCCAGUAACAGGAUACUCAGCAAAUCACAAGGUUCCCGCUGCCAGUGUCAGUGUCAUCCCUGUUGUGUCCGUGCAGGUCACUCACAACGGCCCACUGCAACACCGUCCUAAGCCGUCUG